AGCCUUCGCUCUCUUUGCUAGGACAAAAAGAAUAAGAAAAUAGAUACUCGUGCUCUUUCCUUUUUCUUCUUUCCUCUGAAACCCAUCCCCAUGCUUCUCCUUACUGACUAGAUAUUCAGGUUGAGCGUGCCGAGGAGUAGAGUAGGCGAAGGUUGCCGCUAUCAUCUCACUGCAGUCCAGCCACUACAGCGGAAAUCAUCACUCAGGUCCAUUGAAUACAACUUGGGACUCCAGAACUUCGAAAGAAGACAUGGAAGAUAUGUGGAUUCAUCCCAAUGUUAAUAAGGAAUGGAUGAAGUCAGGAGAGAAAAAGGGAAAAGUUCGAUUUUCUCAUGACACAGAGAGGAGGCCUUAUCUUUCCCAUGUGGAACUAAGGGCUCCAGGAAUGGUUCAAUGAUGAGGGAACUCCAAAUUCCGCUGCUAGGAAGUCACCAUCUUGGAAUUGAUGAUACCAAAAAUAUUGCAAGAGUGGUACAACACAUGCUUAUAGAUGGUGCUCUUUUGCAAAUUACUGCAAGGAGAUUACGUGGUUCUCCUGAAAAAGUUGAGUUUCUAUUUGAAAAUGGUGGGAGUAUAUUGGCGUCACUUGGUUCCUUUCAGCAAAUGUGGUUUUCAAAAUCUGAGUUUGAGGAACAUGGAGCUUCUAAUGUUCAAAGAAAAUGCCCA
This is a long non-coding RNA of Coffea arabica (coffee), 666 nucleotides long. RefSeq lists it as uncharacterized. Lineage: Eukaryota; Viridiplantae; Streptophyta; Magnoliopsida; Gentianales; Rubiaceae. The record is from RefSeq and is a predicted model, not a curated record.